AUCCCUUGGUGAGAGCAUUUGUAAAGUAACUCUUUAAAUUUUUCUCAUGCGUCGUAUAAGGAUUCAUCAUCCAUUUGCUGAAAAGUGGUGAUCUCAUUCCACAACUU
Molecule: small nucleolar RNA, 107 nt
Organism: Gossypium raimondii (Peruvian cotton)
Lineage: Eukaryota; Viridiplantae; Streptophyta; Magnoliopsida; Malvales; Malvaceae
Rfam family: Plant small nucleolar RNA R71
About the family: R71 is a member of the C/D box family of snoRNAs containing the C (UGAUGA) and D (CUGA) box motifs.
Source: Rfam